CAGUCGCCACGGUAAUACAGAGGGUGCGAGCGUUAAUCGGAUUUACUGGGCGUAAAGCGUGCGUAGGCGGCUAAUUGAGUCGGAUGUGAAAUCCCCGAGCUUAACUUGGGAAUUGCAUUCGAUACUGGUUAGCUAGAGUAUGGGAGAGGAUGGUAGAAUUCCAGGUGUAGCGGUGAAAUGCGUAGAGAUCUGGAGGAAUACCGAUGGCGAAGGCAGCCAUCUGGCCUAAUACUGACGCUGAGGUACGAAAGCAUGGGGAGCAAACAGGAUUAGAUACCCCAGUAGUCCCUGUCUCUUAUAA
RNAcentral lists this ribosomal RNA (301 nucleotides) under uncultured bacterium. Its description in RNAcentral is "partial 16S ribosomal RNA". It matches the Rfam family "Bacterial small subunit ribosomal RNA", at positions 509 to 809 of the family's 1533-position model. The record is from RNAcentral.